GGCAGGGUCAGAUGAGGAAAGAUACUCUGGGGAACUCACGCACGCAGAGGAAUAAGAGGAAGCAGUCGUUUUGCAUGUAAAGCCAGGCUGAUCCAGAGCAGGCAGGUGGCAUGCAAGGCUGAGGGACUGGCAGGCUGGCAGCAUUGCCCAGAGGAGCUCAGUCUGGGAGCACAGAGACAGCGCAUCUCUGGGACCAGACUCUGCAGGCACAGAGUGAGGACCAGCAGCUCUCCUCUGGCUGCAGCCCUUGUAUAUAAGGCUGCAAAGCUGCAAUCAUCUCGAGGAACUCUGUGCAGCAGCAGGAGCUUAUCCCAGAGGGAAACACCUGGAGGAGCCCGGGAGUCAGGCAUCAUGGGCCGCGGGUCUCAGACUCUGUCCAAGAAGCAGUCAGGGGAAGAUGCCAUCUUUCCUCAGACCAUCACCCCUACGCUGGGCCUGGCUGCAUGGAGCGUCUGUGACUACUUGAUUAGGUUUAGACUCCCCAUUUAAAAAGGAAAUUCAGGCUCAUGAAAAAAGAUUUGGAAAAUACACAAAUAAUACUCAUUUGCAC
This 550-nucleotide long non-coding RNA is filed under the name Homo sapiens (human). RNAcentral describes it as "non-protein coding lnc-IRF8-2:2". The record is from RNAcentral. Lineage: Eukaryota; Metazoa; Chordata; Mammalia; Primates; Hominidae.